GGGAAACUUACCAGGUCCGGACUUAGUAAGGAUGUACAGAUUGAUAGCUCUUUACAGAUUCUAAGGGUGGUGGUGCAUGGCCGUUCUUAGUUGGUGGAGUGAUUUGUCUGGUUAAUUCCGUUAACGAACGAGACCUUAACCUGCUAAAUAGGCCCCAGAACUUUGUGUUCAAGGAAGCCUUCUUAGAGGGACGUCGCGUGUCUAACGCUAGGAAGUGUGAGGCAAUAA
RNAcentral lists this ribosomal RNA (228 nucleotides) under uncultured eukaryote. RNAcentral's name for it is "partial 18S ribosomal RNA". It matches the Rfam family "Eukaryotic small subunit ribosomal RNA", at positions 1208 to 1456 of the family's 1831-position model. The record is from RNAcentral.